Molecule: long non-coding RNA, 1325 nt
Filed under: Citrus x clementina
Lineage: Eukaryota; Viridiplantae; Streptophyta; Magnoliopsida; Sapindales; Rutaceae
Description: Citrus clementina (C. clementina) long non-coding RNA (CCLE_LNC003915)
Source: RNAcentral
AUUUAUUUUAUUUUUUUGUUAUCUCAACAUAAUUGGUAAUAGUAUUAAUCUCUCCAAAGUUGAUAAUUUUAUAUCCUAAUUAAUAAGGAUGAUUUUAGAUUUUUUACAAUAUAUAUGAGGAUAUAUAUGAAAUUUUAUUAAGUGUAAAAUUAAUUUUCAAAAUAAGAUUUUGAAAACCUACUCAUUCCUUACUUGUUAAAAUUUGAUGUAAAAUGGAGUAAUUUUGCGAGAAAAGUGAUUUCUAAAAAAGAGCAUGAGCAACCCUAUUAACCUAAGAAAUGUAGAGAAUGUCUCCUAAAAUGCCUUUAAAUUAUACAUAUUGACAGAGGACCAUUUCAACAAUGAGAGGACCUCCAACAAAAUUAUUACAUCUCAAUAUGAUAUCAAGCUCGCAGGGGUCUCUCAAAUAUCUUACCAACAGUUACAUGCACUAUGAGUGAGAGAGGGAACUACGUCAACUGAAAUAUGAGCCACUAACAAACGUAUCAACUACUUUAAAAAAGCAAUUAACUCAUUUGAAAUGAGCCAAUUAAGAAUUGAUACAUACUAUCAUUAAGGACAAGCUCUGAACUAACAUGUGUCCAGCUUUAAAUAGGCUAAAGAAUUAAAUUUGAAUUGCCAAAUUACCCACAAGCCUCAACUUGACAAGGCCAACCACAUAUUACAGCAUAUAAUGUGCCAAAAAAGACACCAAGACUGCUUCCUUUAUAAUAUUAGGUCAAAUUCACCAAAAUAGGUUUAGCUUCUUUCCUACAACUCUCAAUUUUUUUAUUGAUUCUAAAGUUUCUUAAAAAACUCAUCACUCUCUCUAAUACCUACUUGAUUUGAUCGUCAGAGUGCCGUCGUUGGACACUAUUGACUAGGAUUAAUCUUCUCUUUGGCAACUUAUGUUAUGUUCACUUGCUAAAGUGGGAGUGAGAAGUGUAGAUUCCUCUCACUCUGUUAUUUACAUACUCAUUUAAAGAGGGGAGUAGGAGUCUCACUUCGUAGGUCCAGCUCAUUUUUUGAAUGAGAUGUGAGAUCUUUUCAUUUUCUCCCUUCUCUUAUUAUCUUUAUUAGGGAAAUUAUCUCUGCACCACCUUUCUUUUGUUAUAUGUACAUCUAACCAUCACAAAAUUUUAACAUGUACUUUGCACUACCUUUAUUUUUAAACUUGUAUCAAUUAACCAACCACUUUGACACCAAAAAUAAUCAUUUUACCCAUAAAUGAAUUAAAAGACUAUUUUAUUCUACAAAAUUUUGAAAAAUAAGAAAACUAUAAGAAUACCCCUAAAUCCAAUAAAAUAAAAUAAAAAAGUCAAAACCUAAGAUGAUAAAUUUUAAAU